UGUUGAUGGCGACCGGCGGACGGGUGAGUAACGCGUGAACAAUCUGUCCCAGACAGGGGGAUAACACUCUGAAAAGGGUGCUAAUACCGCAUAAGACCACGUUCUCGCAUGGGAAUGGGGUUAAAAGAUUUAUCGGUUUGGGGUGAGUUCGCGUCUGAUUAGCUAGUUGGUGAGGUAAUGGCUCACCAAGGCGACGAUCAGUAGCCGGCCUGAGAGGGUGAUCGGCCACAUUGGGACUGAGACACGGCCCAAACUCCUACGGGAGGCAGCAGUGGGGAAUAUUGCACAAUGGGGGAAACCCUGAUGCAGCGACGCCGCGUGAGUGAAGAAGUAUUUCGGUAUGUAAAGCUCUAUCAGCAAGGAAGAAAAUGACGGUACUUGACUAAGAAGCCCCGGCUAACUACGUG
Molecule: ribosomal RNA, 407 nt
Filed under: uncultured bacterium
Lineage: Bacteria
Description: bacterial SSU rRNA
Rfam family: Bacterial small subunit ribosomal RNA
Source: RNAcentral